This 73-nucleotide transfer RNA is filed under the name Opisthoteuthis massyae. Its description in RNAcentral is "tRNA-Leu". Lineage: Eukaryota; Metazoa; Mollusca; Cephalopoda; Octopoda; Opisthoteuthidae. The record is from RNAcentral.
AUUAAGAUGGCAGAACAGUGCAAAGAAUUUAAGCUUCUUUUAGAGAAAUAAGUUAUAGUGUUUCUUCUUAAUA